CCGGAGGCAGCAGUGAGGAAUAUUGGUCAAUGGGAGAGAUCCUGAACCAGCCAAGCCGCGUGAGGGAAGACGGCCCUAUGGGUUGUAAACCUCUUUUGUCGGCGAACAAAACCCGGGACGUGUCCCGGACUGCGUGUAUCCGAAGAAAAAGCAUCGGCUAACUCCGUGCCAGCAGCCGCGGUAAUCCGGAGGGUGCGAGCUUUAUCCGGAUUUAUUGGGUUUAAGGGGUGCGUAAGCGGUUCGUUAAGCCAGCGGUAAAAUUGCGGGGCUCAACCCCGGCGAGCCGUUGAAACUGGCAGACUUGAGUGGGCGAGAGGUAAGCGGAAUGCGCGGUGUAGCGGUGAAAUGCAUAGAUAUCGCGCAGAACUCCGGUUGCGAAGGCAGCGUACCGGAGCCAGACUGACGCUGAGGCACGAAAGCGUGGGGAUCGAACAGGAUUAGAUACCCUGGUAGUC
RNAcentral lists this ribosomal RNA (455 nucleotides) under uncultured bacterium. RNAcentral's name for it is "partial 16S ribosomal RNA". It matches the Rfam family "Bacterial small subunit ribosomal RNA", at positions 342 to 795 of the family's 1533-position model. The record is from RNAcentral.